This 741-nucleotide unclassified non-coding RNA is filed under the name Hevea brasiliensis (rubber tree). Lineage: Eukaryota; Viridiplantae; Streptophyta; Magnoliopsida; Malpighiales; Euphorbiaceae. The record is from RNAcentral.
CUGAAAGUAGCAAUUUUUUCUAGAGAUAAUCCAGGCUUGGGUUUCAGUACAUAUAAACUAUAAUGGAGAGAAUUUGUGUUGGUGGUGGUUUAGAUAGAAUCAGUGGCCUUCCAAGCAAUGUAAUAGACCACAUCCUAGCAUGUUUGCCACUAAAAGACGCUGUGAGGACCAGUUCGUUGUCAAAGAAGUGGAAGGAAAAAUGGCAUACGGUGCCACAUAUUAUAGUUGAUGAGAACUUUUUCCAUGAAAGGUCACAACGGAAUCUUGAGGGCAUAAUCAAUUAUAUCCUCAUUAGACAUGAAGGGAAUAUUGAGAAAUUUUCUGUGUCUGUUGAAAAAGUGAAAGACUGUUACAACAUGAAGUUGUGGAUAUGGAGGCUAUUGCAGAAGUCAAUUAAGGAACUGUCCCUCAUUAUCCGCAGAGGUCAGCACAAUGAAGUACCAUCUGAUUUGUUUUCUUGUCAGCAGUUGAGAAAGUUAAGCCUCCGCCAUUUUGAGGUUAAACAGGCACAUUCAUUCAAAGGAUUUCAUAAUCUUAUUAGCCUUAAGUUGAACAAAGUUAACAUAGCAACUGACAUUUUUGAAAGGCUUAUUUCUGGAUGCCCACUGCUUGAACAAUUGACUGUAAGAAACUUGAGCUGCAUUGAUCAUCUUCACAUCAAUGUCCCCAAACUCAAGAAUUUUUGCUUUGAUGGAGAAUUCCAAUCUAUGUGUUUCAAUACUCCACUUCUUGAGGUUUUGU